CUCUCUCUCUCUCUCUCUCUCUCUCUCUCUCUCUCUCUCUCACUCUCUCUCUCUCUCUCCCAUCUAUCAUCUAUCUAUCUAUCUAUCUAUCUAUCUAUCUAUCUAUCUAUCUAUCUAUCUAUCUAUCUAUCUAUCAUUUCCCUCCUACUUCUGAGACAUGGCCAGUUUUCUUCUCUCCCUGCUGUUAAAGGACUUGGCAGGUGAGGGGAGCGUGUCCCAUUUAUUUCUGAGUGAGAUGGUGAACAAUCAGUAUGUUAUUCUGAAGAGAAAAAAAUUCUCCAGGAUGAAUUGGGAAGAAAUCUGGUCUCCAAGCUCAGAUUCCUUACUGUACAGAAGCCGUGUAUAUACGUAGCCUGUUUCUGAAGGGUACAGGAAGGGGGAACAGCUGUCUUCCCUUCUCUGUUUACUUACCCAGGAAUCAGUCUAUUCCCUGAGUCCCUUUGCCAUAACGACAUAGGAGAGAAACACUAGUAAGCAUUUCCCACUUCUUCAUAGAACAAGACAGUGAGCAUCGCUCCUUCCCACGUUUACUUGUUUGUGUUCCUUGAACAUCAUUUGUGCAUAUUCUGCCCUCAAUGAGGACCAAAUAAAGAUGAUUUUUGUGCUUAGCAGUUUAAGGUAUGUGGCUGCAUAUGCAAAACCCUUUUCCAUUCCAGUCAUUACUUUGAACGCCUCCCUUCCUCAUUUUGUGUGUACAGUGCUGUGUACGCUGAUCAGUGUUGGGUUUUUGUUUUGUUUUGUUUUCCUUCAGUUAUGGAAGUCCCGAUAGGCACCCAGAGUUCUAUUUAUCUAGCUGUACAGACUUCUUCAGAGGUUUAAUGUGCUGCUUCCGAUGUGCCACUUGCGGUAGUGGAUCAUGUGGAGUGAAAGGCAAAUCUUCCUGCUUAAUGUAUAAACUCACCAUGGGAAGCACUGCUGUUUCCAAUAAAUAUUGCUGAAGACGAAAC
Molecule: long non-coding RNA, 947 nt
Filed under: Rattus norvegicus (Norway rat)
Lineage: Eukaryota; Metazoa; Chordata; Mammalia; Rodentia; Muridae
Description: long non-coding RNA NONRATT022361
Source: RNAcentral